UCGGAAGGUAAACAGUCCAGUGCUGAUCGCUGAAGGGCACUCCCGUGGCAGAUUACGAAUGCAACAGGGGGCAUUUCAGUUGCACCAAUGAUCAGCAGGCCCUUUAAUCUGCCAAUAUUUCACUACCAUGAAUCCACAUUCUCCUCAUUUGCAUGCAUGAUCCAAGACAACUUCCCAACGAAUUGCACAGAAUGCCUCUUAAAAUCAAAACAAGUAGCGAGAACACAUGCAAGAACUCCUAAUUCAGGAACGACUCAAUAAAUUCAUCUUUAGAGCCUUUUCCCGGAUGGAUGAUGAGCACCAUGAUAAUCCCGAUAAAGACAGCGAUGAUGGUGGUAGUCGUGUAGUAAACAACAGCUCUUAGACCCAUCUUCCCCGAAGCUCGACUGUCCAGUGCUGCCAUACCUGCACACAGUGCACUAACAUGGCAACCUCCACCACUCCACCACCACCAGUUGAGUCCCAUCCUGCAUGGGGGUAGGCUCCUCGCCCCUGCCUCCUAUCUCCGGCAGGAUAUGACAGUUCCGAGGACAACUUCUUCGGACCGCCAGACGGGGCUUACGCCAAAGAGAGACGUUACAUUUCUGUUUUAUAUUCAUCAAA
Xyrauchen texanus (razorback sucker) is the source of this 603-nucleotide long non-coding RNA. RefSeq lists it as uncharacterized. The record is from RefSeq and is a predicted model, not a curated record. Lineage: Eukaryota; Metazoa; Chordata; Actinopteri; Cypriniformes; Catostomidae. The transcript has 3 exons.